RNAcentral lists this ribosomal RNA (1045 nucleotides) under Turmalinea chrysocarpa. Its description in RNAcentral is "eukaryotic LSU rRNA". The stretch from base 231 to 385 matches the Rfam family "5.8S ribosomal RNA". Lineage: Eukaryota; Fungi; Basidiomycota; Agaricomycetes; Boletales; Boletaceae. The record is from RNAcentral.
CUUGGUCAUUUAGAGGAAGUAAAAGUCGUAACAAGGUUUCCGUAGGUGAACCUGCGGAAGGAUCAUUAACGAACAAAAGAUUGUAGCUGGCUAUUAGUAACAAUAGCAUCGUGCACGUCUUUAAUCUCAUCCAACACACACUAGUGAACCCUAUUGUAGAUCCGCAACGAUCUAUGUCUUUCAUCACUUAUUUUAAACGUAUGUUUUAGAAUGUAAACCCAAAUUAUUACAACUUUCAGCAAUGGAUCUCUUGGUUCUCGCAUCGAUGAAGAACGCAGCGAAUUGCGAUAAGUAAUGUGAAUUGCAGAUUUUCAGUGAAUCAUCGAAUCUUUGAACGCACCUUGCGCUCCUUGGUAUUCCGAGGAGCAUGCCUGUUUGAGUGUCAUUUAAUUAUCAAUCUACUGGAUUGGAGUUGGGAAUUGCUGGCUUUGAUUAGUCGGCUGUCCUUAAAAGCAUUAGCAAGCGAUAAGUAGUCAUUCACUACGUGCACGGCCUCUGACGUGAUAAUGAUCGUUGUGGGCUGGAAGCGUUAUGGAAUGGUCGAAAAGCUUGCUUCGAAAACCUAUGAUUAGUGAAGGUUCUAUGUGAAUAGUGUAUGGUAUAGUAAGCUGGAAGCAUAGUAUGGAAGCUCGAAAGAGUGAAAGUGCUAUGUGCAUACGGCUGAGGGUACAUAAGCUGGAAGCAUAGUAUUGAAGCUAGUCAAACAAAGAGAUGGAACGAGUGGAAUAUUUCUAUGUGGAUAUGGCUAGUUGUAGGCUAUGGAAGCAGGGAUAGUAUUGGAAGCUCAAAGUGGAAAUUGGCUAUGAUUUCGGACGGGAAGCCUCGAGGGAAAGUGCCAAUUUAAUUAUUGGUGUGGAAGCUUGAGGUGAAAGAUUGAAAAGAUUGGUUAAUGAAAGCUAGAGUGGAAUAGUGCUAUCAUGUGAAUAUGGCUUAUGUAGGCUGUUGAAGGAUAGUAAAUUGAAAGCUAGUGUUUUGUUUCGAAUUGAAAUUGACCUCAAAUCAGUAGGACUACCCGCUGAACUUAAGCAUAUCAAUAAGCGGAGGA